RNAcentral lists this non-coding RNA (30 nucleotides) under Mus musculus (house mouse). Lineage: Eukaryota; Metazoa; Chordata; Mammalia; Rodentia; Muridae. The record is from RNAcentral.
UGGUGUUUUAGAGACAGUGUUGGUUUCACU